AAACAUGUCCUUUUGAAUUUUAUUAAAGGUCUAGCCUGCCCACUGAAAUUUUAAAUGGCCGCAGUAUCCUAACUGUGCAAAGGUAGCAUAAUCAUUAGUCUUUUAAUUGAAGGCUUGUAUGAAUGGCUGGACGAGAUACUAACUGUUUCAUAUAUAUUUAUUGUAGAAUUUUAUUUUUUAGUCAAAAAGCUAAAAUGAAGUUAAAAGACGAGAAGACCCUAUAAAUCUUUAUAUUUUAAAUAUUUUAGGUUUUUAGAUGAUUUAUCCUAUUAUAUUAAAAAAUAUUUUAUUGGGGUGAUAUUAAAAUUUAAUUAACUUUUAAUUUUUAAGAACAUUAAUUUAUGAGUAAUUGAUCCGUUUUUAGCGAUUAAAAAUUUAAGUUACUUUAGGGAUAACAGCGUAAUUUUCUUGGAGAGUUCUUAUCGAUAAGAAAGAUUGCGACCUCGAUGUUGGAUUAAGAUUCAGAUUUGGGCGCAGCCGUUCAAAUUUUAAGUCUGUUCGACUUUUUAAAUCUUACAUGA
Molecule: ribosomal RNA, 521 nt
Filed under: Coelopella curvipes
Lineage: Eukaryota; Metazoa; Arthropoda; Insecta; Diptera; Coelopidae
Description: partial 16S ribosomal RNA
Rfam family: Bacterial large subunit ribosomal RNA
Source: RNAcentral